RNAcentral lists this ribosomal RNA (424 nucleotides) under uncultured bacterium. RNAcentral's name for it is "bacterial SSU rRNA". It matches the Rfam family "Bacterial small subunit ribosomal RNA", at positions 356 to 773 of the family's 1533-position model. The record is from RNAcentral.
AGGGAAUCUUCCGCAAUGGACGAAAGUCUGACGGAGCAACGCCGCGUGAGUGAUGAAGGUUUUCGGAUCGUAAAGCUCUGUUGCCAGGGAAGAACGUCCGUUAGAGUAACUGCUAACGGAGUGACGGUACCUGAGAAGAAAGCCCCGGCUAACUACGUGCCAGCAGCCGCGGUAAUACGUAGGGGGCGAGCGUUGUCCGGAAUUAUUGGGCGUAAAGCGCGCGCAGGCGGCUGUUUAAGUCUGGUGUUUAAUCCUGGGGCUCAACCCCGGGUCGCACUGGAAACUGGACAGCUUGAGUGCAGAAGAGGAGAGUGGAAUUCCACGUGUAGCGGUGAAAUGCGUAGAGAUGUGGAGGAACACCAGUGGCGAAGGCGACUCUCUGGGCUGUAACUGACGCUGAGGCGCGAAAGCGUGGGGAGCAAAC